RNAcentral lists this ribosomal RNA (253 nucleotides) under uncultured bacterium. RNAcentral's name for it is "partial 16S ribosomal RNA". It matches the Rfam family "Bacterial small subunit ribosomal RNA", at positions 524 to 776 of the family's 1533-position model. The record is from RNAcentral.
UACGGGGGGGGCAAGCGUUGUUCGGAGUUACUGGGCGUAAAGGGCUCGUAGGUGGCCAACUAAGUCAGACGUGAAAUCCCUCGGCUUAACCGGGGAACUGCGUCUGAUACUGGAUGGCUUGAGUUUGGGAGAGGGACGCGGAAUUCCAGGUGUAGCGGUGAAAUGCGUAGAUAUCUGGAGGAACACCGGUGGCGAAGGCGGCGUCCUGGACCAAUACUGACACUCAGGUGCGACAGCGUGGGGAGCAAACAGG